This 4425-nucleotide long non-coding RNA is filed under the name Mus musculus (house mouse). RNAcentral describes it as "predicted gene, 30371". Lineage: Eukaryota; Metazoa; Chordata; Mammalia; Rodentia; Muridae. The record is from RNAcentral.
CUCCCUUCUCAGCAGCCUCCCUGUUCUCUGUGUUUAUUAAGUUGUGAGUGGUGGUGGGAGGCUCUGUCAGCAUCCUCUCAAAUUUGUGGUUUGCCAGAGAAGUGACUCCAGAACUCCAGCAUGCUUGGAUCGCCUCUUACCAAGACAGGGAGACAACCAAGUGAACUCGCAGGCCUGACAUAAAGCUCAUUAGGGGAUUCUGGGGAAGAAGAGAUGGCGAGGAGCCAGUCACAUGACAGUGGGUGCAGAGGUGUUUUCAAACCAAUGAAGGCCAUGGACUGUGGAGGAGCCCAGAAGAUGGGAGACAUAUCUGUAACAGAACCUGGAAGGGAAGUUCCUGCCAGAGGAACCACUGCCAACUUGAUUUCAGCCUUCUGACUUCAGACUGUGAGGGAAUACAUUCGAGCCAUUCUGGUAGUUUGUGAUAGCAUCUUCAGGAAGUUAAUAUGGCAUACCUUUUGGGUGGUAUAGUUUUUCUUUAAACCUGCAUCUUGUUCUAACAGGGCAGGGGAGGCCCUCAAUAUUUAAUUGUGUUGAUUGGAUUAAGGGACAAUGUAAGUUGUUAUUGGACUAAGCGGCACUGUAUUGAAUGUAUCUGUCAGGGACUUUUCCAGAGAGGAUAAACUGAGAAGUCAAGAUGUUCUCUGGAUGUGGGCUGCACCAUCCCAUGGUCUUGGGUCCCAGACUGAACGAAAAGCAAAAUGGAGAAAGCUGAUCAUGUACCCGCAUUUCCCCUUCUCUGCAACCUGAUCAGCCAAGACGUUAGCAGGCAGCUCGUUGUCACCAUGGACAGAGCCUGGUCCGGGCCUGGUCCCACCACCCGCCUCACCUGCCACAGUGGACUGCGGAUUGUGACCCGGGAGCUAAACCUUUCUCCUCCAUCUUUUACUUUAUCCUCCUGUUUUUUUCUUCCCCCCUCUGCGCUUUCCUUUUCCCUCACAUUUAGUCAUGCUGGCUGGAAUAAAUAGCAAGAUAGAAACAAAGUAUAGUGUUGGACCUUGAGAAAUAGCCCAGCAGGAAGAGCUUAUAGUCACAGGACAGCCAGGACUGACUCUGUCCUCGUUUCUCUUUGAUGGUGCAGUUAGGGCAGUAACUUGGAGACAGAGGGGCUGAAAGGGAUGGAAGACCCGGAUUUCUGCUUCAGGCCCCACUGACACCCCAUUAGGAAGCUCAGAUCCUCUGAGAGGUGUUUUCUACUCUGGAAAAGAAACAAAGAGGAAAGAAGCCUGCAUCCAUGUUCCCAGUUGGGAGCAAGCGAGGUGACGCACAUGUAGACAUUUUGUAAAUGGGAAAUACCUCAAGGAUGCUGAUGGCUGCUAUUAGGCUCCAUUAUGUGAAAUGGCUGGCAUUACACCAUUUUCAACAACAAAAAUAGCAAUUUUAAUAUGCGCUAUAUCCUUUGACCCACAGGGAAUGUUUCAAAACCCUCACUGGGUGCUGGAAUUGGUGACCACAUCAAACCCUACAUAGAUUAUGACUUUUUUUUUUUUUCUUAGCAAAGGUGCCCAUCUAGGAUAGUUUUCAAUUUAUGAAUUUUACACUUUGGUGAUUAACAGAAAGUUAUUUAAAAUGUACGAGCUGUGUAUUUCUGAGAUUCUCCAUUUAAUAUAUUUAAACAUUUAUUUUAUUUUUAAUGGGUUUGUGUAUAUGUGUGAUUGUAUGUAUGCACAUGAGUGCAGAUACUCUUGGAGGCCAGAAGAAGGUGUUAGAUCCCUUGCACAUGGUAGUGGGGAGUUUCUAAGAUGUUCUGAGCUGCCUGGCAUGGGUUCUGGGACGCUAACUCUGGUCCUCUGGAAGAGCACCAAGUGUUGUUAUCCACUGAGCCAUCUCUCCAGCCCCUUAUUUAGUAUUUCCGGGCUGAAGGUGCUGCUGGGCGGAAAGGGAGAUGAGGUAGCAGAGAAGGCUGGGUUUCAGUUCAGUCCUUGCUGAUGCUUUCCCAGGAAGCCAUGCAUCUGGCUCAUCACCAUGCAGAAGUUCUCCAAGUGAACCAACAGCAUUAUCAUUGGCAAUAAUUUUGAAAUGGGAAAAAUGCAAACAGUAAGUCAAAAUCCAGUGUUUCCUCAAGUGGAGGAUGUGUGCUGCUGUGGGCACAGAAAAGCACUCACUGUCUGCAGCCCAUAAAGCCAACACCAGGCCCUUUGAAAGCUGCAGUAGAUCAGCCACCUUCUGUUUCCCCUUGGUCCCCUGAUGACGCAAAGCCACCAUCCCAACUUGGUGCUCUAUGUGUUUGAUUAUUACUGAUUUUCAUUUAAAGCAGACAACAAAAACUCGAGGUAUCUUAGUGUCUGGGUGUUUAUGUAUUUAUUUUUAUAGCAGGAUACUUAUAUCUAUCAUCUAUCUAUUAACUGGGAUGAAAAAUUUUGUUGCAAAUGUUAUUUAUUUAAGAAAAAAAAUCAAUUUGAGGGAAUGGGGAUCUAGCUUGGGCAGGAAUGCUUGCCUCCCGUCUAUGAAGGAUUGGGUUCUAUUCUUAGCACUUCUAAGAUGUGCAUCAGGUUGCAUUCUACAAUCCCAGUAUACAGAAGUGGAGGCAGGAGGAUCAGAAUUCAAGCUCAUCCUUGGUCCCAUAGAGAGUUCAAGGCUAGCCUGGGAUACAUGAGAUCCUGUCUCAGAGAGAAGGGGGAUUUGAUGUAAAGAAAAAUAUUAGGGAAACAACAACAACCCAGAUGGUGGAGGGAUGUGGAUUUUGUGGGGCUCAGGCUACCCUGGAAGUGUGAGCAUGCGCAUGUACAGUUCAUUCAGCCUUACUUUUCCUAUCAUGGAGGAAGCACAUCCUGCGAGGCAAGUCUUAAUGAAGGAAGGUAAAUCAUUUUGAACAGCAAACAGCGGUGCAGAAUUAAAAUCCCUCAACAAUUAAAGGGCAGAGCUGUCAUCCGUUACGAAACAGGAGCCGGAUCUAAUAAAGCGAAUGAAGGUUACUCCAGAAAGCGUCAGAACUGUGUCAACAGCUCCAGCCUUAAGCAACAUUUUCUCUCAUCUCUAGGUAGUCAGUGGCCUGCUGAUGACUUUGAACUAAACACAUAAGACUCUUCUCAUAGCUGAAUAUCAGACUUAAUGAGGGAAACCUUUAGGAAAGAAUUGUGUGCUUUGGAUUCUUCAUUUUUGAUAUUUGGAAUUGGAGAUUGAACCUAGGGUUUGGGACAUGCUAUGUAAAUAUACCACCACUAAAUUACACCUUCCAAUACAAAAAAAGCAGAAAGCGAGAAACUCAGUCCUUUUUGGUCUUGAGAUAUAGUCUUGCUUUAGCUAGCUUUGAACUUACUCUGGAGUCCAGAAAGACCUUGAACUUUUGAUCUUCCUGCCUCAGCAUCUCUAGUAGCUGGAAUGGUAGGCCUUAUCCAACAGGCCUGGCUUGUUGGAUCCAUUUGUAACCAGAGUCAGAAUUACAUCGUUGUCCUGAGCAUGGUCACUGCAGUCUCAUUGUCAAGGCAGAAGGGUGAGGAGAGCCUUUUAUGGUACAGAGAAAUCCAAGUGGUAAAUCAUUCAGCAGAGAAUGAUGCUCUCCAAGAAGACAAGAUUCAUUUGCAAGCCAGGAUUUCCCCUAUAGCAGACCCACUGGUCCCUAAAAAAACAAACAAAACAAAACAAAAUCAGUUAUAGGAAAGUUAAAAAACUAAAGCAAUGGCUUUAAUGGACGGAAGGAAAUCAAAAGAAAGGCUAUGAGGAAAAUAUGGGAGCUUGACCAGAUCCUGGGUUAAGCAAAGGACAGUUAGCUCAGAGCACAUUACCAGGGCCAUUGGGAAGAUUUUAAAGAUAUAUUUCAUUUAAUACAUUUAUUUAUUUUUGCUCUUUGAAGGCAGGGUUUACUCUGUGUAGUCCUAGCUGUCCUGGACCUUCCUUUGUUCUUGUGCGCGCUCGACUGGCCAGGAAGAACGACGCUGCAACAGGAUCCUUCUGCACACGUUUAUUGGGAGAGCUUGAUUGUAGAGGCGAAGAGACCCGGAGCCCAGAACUGGUGCUGCUUUUAUAGGCCUAGGAGAGGCGUGUCUUACACCCGGAUUGGUUAUGCACUACGCCUCAUUUGCAUGUUCCUCAUCUGAUUGGCUACUCUCUCUCAGUACCUCACAGAGCCUCAUUAUCAUACCUCAUUUGCAUGUCUCACAUCUGAUUGGUUACUCUCUCUCAGUACCUUACAGAACCUCAUUAUCAUACCUCAUUUGCAUGUCUCACAUCUGAUUGGUUAUACUCUCAGUACCUUACAGAUCCUCAUUAUCAUGCCCGGGCCAGGCAGUGUCUUUGCAAAAAACUUUACUGCAUAUGUACACAUUGGUUGUUUGUCCAAACUUAUGCGUGGUGGCCAGCAGUAGUCGAUGCCACUCUGCAACGGCACAUGUGGCUCCCCACACUUUGUAGACCAGGCUGACUUUGAACCCAGAGCUCUACCUACCUUUGCCUUAUAAAUUCUGGAAUUAAAGGUAUAAACUACCA